ACGUAGGGUGCGAGCGUUAAUCGGAAUUACUGGGCGUAAAGCGUGCGCAGGCGGUUCGUUGUGUCGGCGGUGAAAGCCCGGGGCUCAACCCCGGGUCGGCCGUGCGAACUGUCGAGCUGGAGCACUGUAGAGGCAGGUGGAAUUCCGGGUGUAGCGGUGGAAUGCGUAGAGAUCCGGAAGAACACCGGUGGCGAAGGCGGCCUGCUGGGCAGUGGCUGACGCUGAGGCGCGACAGCGUGGGGAGCAAACAGGA
This 253-nucleotide ribosomal RNA is filed under the name uncultured prokaryote. RNAcentral's name for it is "partial 16S ribosomal RNA". It matches the Rfam family "Bacterial small subunit ribosomal RNA", at positions 525 to 777 of the family's 1533-position model. The record is from RNAcentral.